UACGGAGGAUCCGAGCGUUAUCCGGAUUUAUUGGGUUUAAAGGGUGCGUAGGUGGCCUGUUAAGUCAGGGGUGAAAGACGGUAGCUUAACUAUCGCAGUGCCCUUGAUACUGAUGGGCUUGAAUACACUAGAGGUAGGCGGAAUGUGACAAGUAGCGGUGAAAUGCAUAGAUAUGUCACAGAACACCAAUUGCGAAGGCAGCUUACUAUGGUGUCAUUGACACUGAGGCACGAAAGCGUGGGGAUCAAACAGG
This 253-nucleotide ribosomal RNA is filed under the name uncultured bacterium. RNAcentral describes it as "partial 16S ribosomal RNA". It matches the Rfam family "Bacterial small subunit ribosomal RNA", at positions 524 to 776 of the family's 1533-position model. The record is from RNAcentral.